AGGUCUUGACAUCCGAUGCUAUUCUAGAGAUAGAAAGUUACUUCGGUACAUCGGUGACAGGUGGUGCAUGGUUGUCGUCAGCUCGUGUCGUGAGAUGUUGGUUAAGUCCCGCAACGAGCGCAACCCCUAUUGUUAGUUGCCAUCAUUCAGUUGGGCACUCUAGCGAGACUGCCGGUAAUAAACCGGAGGAAGUGGGAUGACGUCAAAUCAUCAUGCCCCUUAUGACCUGGGCUACACACGUGCUACAAUGGUUGGUACAACGAGUUGCGAGUCGGUGACGGCGAGCUAAUCUCUUAAAGCCAAUCUCAGUUCGGAUUGUAGGCUGCAACUCGCCUACAUGAAGUCGGAAUCGCUAGUAAUCGCGGAUCAGCACGCCGCGGUGAAUACGUUCCCGGGCCUU
This 400-nucleotide ribosomal RNA is filed under the name uncultured Streptococcus sp. Its description in RNAcentral is "bacterial SSU rRNA". It matches the Rfam family "Bacterial small subunit ribosomal RNA", at positions 976 to 1382 of the family's 1533-position model. Lineage: Bacteria; Bacillati; Bacillota; Bacilli; Lactobacillales; Streptococcaceae. The record is from RNAcentral.